Molecule: ribosomal RNA, 393 nt
Filed under: uncultured bacterium
Lineage: Bacteria
Description: partial 16S ribosomal RNA
Rfam family: Bacterial small subunit ribosomal RNA
Source: RNAcentral
AUACGGAAGGUCCGGGCGUUAUCCGGAUUUAUUGGGUUUAAAGGGAGCGUAGGCCGCCCCUUAAGCGUGUUGUGAAAUGCCGCGGCUCAACCGUGGCACUGCAGCGCGAACUGGGGGGCUUGAGUGCGCGCAGCGAAGGCGGAAUUCGUGGUGUAGCGGUGAAAUGCUUAGAUAUCACGAAGAACUCCGAUCGCGAAGGCAGCCUUCGGGAGCGCAACUGACGCUGAAGCUCGAAAGUGCGGGUAUCGAACAGGAUUAGAUACCCUGGUAGUCCGCACGGUAAACGAUGGAUGCCCGCUCUGCCGCCUUGUGGUGGCGGGGCCAAGCGAAAGCAUUAAGCAUCCCACCUGGGGAGUACGCCGGCAACGGUGAAACUCAAAGGAAUUGACGGGG